Molecule: ribosomal RNA, 792 nt
Filed under: uncultured Actinomycetes bacterium
Lineage: Bacteria; Bacillati; Actinomycetota; Actinomycetes
Description: bacterial SSU rRNA
Rfam family: Bacterial small subunit ribosomal RNA
Source: RNAcentral
CUGCAAGUCGAACGCGAAAGUUCCCUUCGGGGAGCGAGUAGAGUGGCGCACGGGUGAGUAACACGUAGGUAAUCUACCUUUGGAUUGGGAAUAACAACCGGAAACGGUUGCUAAUACCGAAUAAUGCAGCGGCACCUAAUGGUGACAGUUGUUAAAGCGGGGGAUCGCAAGACCUCGCGUCUAAAGAGGAGCCUGCGGCGGAUUAGCUAGUUGGUAAGGUAACGGCUUACCAAGGCGAUGAUCCGUAGCCGGCCUGAGAGGGCGGUCGGCCACACUGACACUGACAUACGGGUCAGACUCCUACGGGAGGCAGCAGUCGGGAAUUUUGGGCAAUGGGCGAAAGCCUGACCCAGCAACGCCGCGUGAAGGAUGAAAUCCUUCGGGAUGUAAACUUCGCAAGAACAGGAAGAAUAAGUAAGAGUUAAUAUCUCUUACGAUGACGGUACUGUUUGUAAGCUCCGGCUAACUCCGUGCCAGCAGCCGCGGUAAUACGGGGGGAGCAAGCGUUGUUCGGAUUUACUGGGCGUAAAGGGCGGGUAGGCGGCCACCGCAAGUCAGUUGUGAAAUCUCCGGGCUUAACCCGGAAAGGUCAACUGAUACUGCGGGGCUAGAGUGCAGAAGGGGCAACUGGAAUUCUCGGUGUAGCGGUGAAAUGCGUAGAUAUCGAGAGGAACACCUGCGGCGAAGGCGGGUUGCUGGGCUGACACUGACGCUGAACUGCGAAAGCUAGGGGAGCGAACGGGAUUAGAUACCCCGGUAGUCCUAGCCUUAAACGAUGAAUGCUUGGUGUCU